UUAGUAUUAUUGAUUACAGUUUCAUAGAUGUAGUUGCAAAGUGGCCAGGUUCGCAGCAUGAUGCUUCCAUUUUCAACACCUGUGGUCUAAAGGAACACCUGGAAAGAACACAUGCAGGAAUUUUGCUUGGGGAUAGCGGAUAUGGCCUGAGAAGAUAUCUUCUCACACCUAAACAAAAUCCCAUGACAGAGUCUGAAAGGCGUUACAAUAAUUACCAUGCCAGGGGAAGAGUGGUUAUUGAAAGAGCGUUUGGUGUGCUGAAAUCUAGAUUUCGAUGCCUACACAAAUCUGGUGGUGUACUUCCAUUCAACCCUACAAAAAGUUCUCAUGUUGUUGUGGCCUGUAUGAAGCUGCAUAAUCUGUGCAUAACGUUCAACGUGAAGGAACCACAAGAUGCAGUCCAUGUGAAUGAGCUGGCAAAUGAGGAUGUCUUAAAUGAGCAUGAUGACAAUGCGCAUUCAUUUAGACAGGCAAUCAUUAACAUGUUUUGAAUGACUGGUUAUAAGCACGUUGUAAUUUUGUAUAGCUGUAGUUAAACAAUUCAAUUCAAAUUGAUAUGAACUGUUUUGUUUACAUAAAAGUUUACUGUAUUUAUGCCCCCCUUCGAAGAAGAGGGGGUAUAUUGUUUUACACAUGUCGGUCGGUCCGUCCACCAGAUGGUUUCCGGAUGAUAACUCAAGAACGCUUAGGUCUAGGAUCAUGGAACUUCAUAGGUACAUUACUCAUGCCUGGCAGAUGACCCCUAUUGAUUUUUAGGUCACUAGGUCAAAACGUAAAGGUUACAGUGACUCGAAAUAGCAAAAUGGUUUCUGGAUGAUAACUAUAGAAUGCUAACGCCUAGGAUCAUGAAACUUCAUAGGAACAUAGAAUAUGAUUGGGCAGAUGACCCCUAUUGAGUGUCAGGUCACUAGGUCAAAGGUCAAGGUCACAGUGACUCGAAACAGUAAAAUGGUUUCCGGAUGAUAACUCAUUAAUGCUUACGGCUAGGAUCAUGAAACUUCAUAGGUACAUUGAUCAUGACUGGCAGAUGACCCCUAUUGAUUUUCAGGUCACUAGUUCAAGUUCACAGCGACUUGAAAGAGUAUAAUGCUUUUCUGAUCAUAACUCAACAAUAAUUAGGUCUAGGAUCAAGAAUAUUCAUAGGUGAAUUGAUCAUGACUGGCAGAUGACCCCUAUUGAUUUUCAGGUCACUAGGUUAAACAAAUUAUUCAAACAAUGGCUGCCACUACAACUGACAGCCCAUAUGGGGGGCAUGCAUGAUUUACAAACAGCCAUUGUUAUAGUUACACAUUUUUCAAAUGACCUUUCAAAAUAUGACAUUUAGUUAUUAACUUAUAAUGAGUGAUCUUGUGAUAAAAAAAGAGUUGCCAUUUUUUUAUUUAAAAGUAUUAUGCCAGCAAAUAUAUAACUUUAAACCAUAA
Molecule: long non-coding RNA, 1421 nt
Organism: Dreissena polymorpha
Lineage: Eukaryota; Metazoa; Mollusca; Bivalvia; Myida; Dreissenidae
Exons: 3
Source: RefSeq, a predicted model, not a curated record